UUCACCAGGUACUCUACUGAGUCAAGGUGAGUUGAUGGAGAGAAAUGGCUAGAAGAAAAUGGCCCUCUACAAUGAAACCAAAAGCAGCAACCAGCUGUUAACAUGCAAACAAAAUAAUGAUGAUGGAUGAGAGCUGACAUCUGUCAUGUCCUUCUGCAGCAGCACUUCCACACAAUUGCUAGACACACAACAAAUUGAGAUGGACAAUCUUACAUGGCCUAAGGAUGUUUAAGAUGCAGGUUUCAUAUAUACAUGUGGUGGGACGUUAAAAGGAAGGAAUGGGACCAUUGAAAGCCCUGGUUUUCCAUACGGUUACCCAAACGGGGCAAACUGCACGUGGGUUAUUGUAGCAGAGGAAGGCAACCGCAUUCAGAUAGUCUUUCAGUCUUUUGCAGUGGAGGAGGAAUAUGAUUUUUUAUCACUCUAUGAUGGACAUCCUCAUCCAGCCAACUUCAGGACAAGGUUAACAGGUUUCCAAAUCCCACCUCCAGUCAUGAGUACAGGGUCCGUCUUCUCCCUGCGGCUCACCAGUGACUUUGCUGUGAGUGCCCACGGCUUCAAAAUCUAUUACGAAGAAUUGCAGAGCAGCUCAUGUGGGAACCCAGGCGUCCCUCCCAAAGGAAUCCUCUAUGGGACCCGC
This is a long non-coding RNA of Ictalurus furcatus (blue catfish), 640 nucleotides long. RefSeq lists it as uncharacterized. Lineage: Eukaryota; Metazoa; Chordata; Actinopteri; Siluriformes; Ictaluridae. The transcript is spliced from 4 exons. The record is from RefSeq and is a predicted model, not a curated record.